AACGACUCUCGGCAAYGGAUAUCUCGGCUCUCGCAUCGAUGAAGAACGUAGCGAAAUGCGAUACUUGGUGUGAAUUGCAGAAUCCCGUGAACCAUCGAGUCUUUGAACGCAAGUUGCGCCCGAAGCCAUUAGGCCCAGGGCACGUCUGGCUGGGUGUCACACAACG
This 166-nucleotide ribosomal RNA is filed under the name Gilbertiodendron sp. ME-2015. Its description in RNAcentral is "5.8S ribosomal RNA". It matches the Rfam family "5.8S ribosomal RNA". From Rfam's summary of the family: 5.8S ribosomal RNA (5.8S rRNA) is a component of the large subunit of the eukaryotic ribosome. It is transcribed by RNA polymerase I as part of the 45S precursor that also contains 18S and 28S rRNA. The record is from RNAcentral. Lineage: Eukaryota; Viridiplantae; Streptophyta; Magnoliopsida; Fabales; Fabaceae.